GCAGGCGUACCCAAGGGGCUUAAGGGGUGUGAUUGCAAAUCACAUAUUCGCAGGUUCGAAUCCUGCCGCCUGCUC
Molecule: transfer RNA, 75 nt
Filed under: Candidatus Uabimicrobium amorphum
Lineage: Bacteria; Pseudomonadati; Planctomycetota; Candidatus Uabimicrobiia; Candidatus Uabimicrobiales; Candidatus Uabimicrobiaceae
Description: Planctomycetes bacterium SRT547 tRNA-Cys
Rfam family: tRNA
About the family: Transfer RNA (tRNA) molecules are approximately 80 nucleotides in length. Their secondary structure includes four short double-helical elements and three loops (D, anti-codon, and T loops). Further hydrogen bonds mediate the characteristic L-shaped molecular structure. tRNAs have two regions of fundamental functional importance: the anti-codon, which is responsible for specific mRNA codon recognition, and the 3' end, to which the tRNAs corresponding amino acid is attached (by aminoacyl-tRNA synthetases). tRNAs cope with the degeneracy of the genetic code in two manners: having more than one tRNA (with a specific anti-codon) for a particular amino acid; and 'wobble' base-pairing, i.e. permitting non-standard base-pairing at the 3rd anti-codon position.
Source: RNAcentral